RNAcentral lists this ribosomal RNA (253 nucleotides) under uncultured prokaryote. RNAcentral describes it as "partial 16S ribosomal RNA". It matches the Rfam family "Bacterial small subunit ribosomal RNA", at positions 525 to 777 of the family's 1533-position model. The record is from RNAcentral.
ACGAAGGGGGCUAGCGUUGUUCGGAAUUACUGGGCGUAAAGCGCACGUAGGCGGGUAUUUAAGUUAGGGGUGAAAUCCCAGAGCUCAACUCUGGAACUGCCUCUAAUACUGGGUACCUAGAGUAUGGAAGAGGUGAGUGGAAUUCCGAGUGUAGAGGUGAAAUUCGUAGAUAUUCGGAGGAACACCAGUGGCGAAGGCGGCCAGCUGGGCCAGGUCCGACACUGAGGCGCGAAAGCGUGGGGAGCAAACAGGA